This 592-nucleotide long non-coding RNA is filed under the name Salvia miltiorrhiza (redroot sage). RNAcentral's name for it is "long non-coding RNA (SMIL_LNC008382)". Lineage: Eukaryota; Viridiplantae; Streptophyta; Magnoliopsida; Lamiales; Lamiaceae. The record is from RNAcentral.
UUGUUGUAUAUUGAAAGCUGGAGUCUUGAAGCUUUGUUUUCCCCUGAUUUCGAACCUUGCUGUGUCGAGUUCUUUUGGGGGGUGUUUGUUAGCCAUGAGAGUCAAUAGAUGGAGAGAGGUAGAGCAUGGCACGGCGGCAACUCGCCGCUGCUGUCCGGCCUAGGGCUUCAGGCGGCGGCGGCCUCAUCAUCGCUGCCCUGAGUCGCCGGAGUCAGAGAAAGAAGAUAGGUCGGGGGUGAGAGUGGAGAGGGCGGCGGCGGCCUAGGAGUCGUCGGCCGUCGGGAACAGGGGAUGGGGCGGUGACUGAACUGGGCUGGGUUUUUGUCGGGGUUAGGACGGCGGCGACCUUCAUGGUUGCUCGCCGGACCGAUUCAAUGAGGUUUGAGAGAGAGGCCGAGGGAGGCGGCGGCGUUUCGUCGUCGCCAAGGAGGAAAGAGAACAGAGGGAGGCCAGGGCGCGGCGGCCCUGCCGCUGUCGCUCGGCCACGGACGGAGGGAGAGACAGCGUCGCCUGAUCUACGGGCGGCGGCUGGAGAAGAGGGGAGGGGGUCGAUUCCGAUCUGAACUUUGAGCAACGAUGGAGCAGUCGAGGG